UGCGAGAACUCUGUCACGUGUAUCUCGUUGGAUAUUGAGAUACUAAAGUCGUCAAGUGGAAACUGAGAGUAAAUUUCACGGAAAUACGUAGAAUGCUGUAAUAAUAUAGUCAUCAAGGAUUAGUUUAAAUAACGCAGAAUCAAAUAGGAGAGUCUGCAGAGAGGAUGUUGCGGCCAACAAGGAAAAUAAAACAGCGACUUUAUCGCUAUCAACGUGUGCAGAAGCGAGCAAAGAUAUCAUCCGCAUCUGAAAGUAUAAGAAUCACAGAGAGAAGAGAUACGCGAGGAAGAGAUCACGAUAAGAUGGGGACGACGCCACGAGCGGUCGAAUCCGCCGCCCGCGACCGCGUGGAAACGAUAUAAUAUAUAUCUCACGACGGACGAGAGAGAGAGAGAGAGAUCGUUGCCACGAUCUCCUCUACUGGAAGGAUAUAGCAGCGACGGGGGUGAAAAUCGUGCCACGUGGCCCGCGGGUACUCCAGGAAGAACAAGGGGGAGAACUCGGACUAGCAUUACUGGCCCCGGCCAUGGCGAACGUGAGUUACCUUUACUGCAUUUGCUAUUCUGCCAUUGUGCACGGUUACGAUACGGGACCGUGCAGGGGAAGCUGCUGCGAGAGAGAUCGCGUGAGUCAUACUGAGGCGAGCGAAGCUCCAUUGGCAUUGGCGUAGAACGUCUUCCCUGGACAAGGGCGUCUUGUCUUUCAUGGCGCAUCACGGCUAUUUUACACGCCUUCUUAUCAUCAAAUCGAAAUUUCCCCGAAACCGUUCUCAACGUUCUUCAGCAGAGCGAAACCUUAUUGCCAUCCUGAAGCUAUUUCGCUAAUUACAACGAUAUUAGUCAAUCUGGUGUAUUUGAUUGCUCUUAAUAACUUUCGUUUUUUUUUUUUUUUUUUUUUUUAUUAUUAUUAAGGCAAUCGUUGUUUUAUUAUUUACGCGAAUUUCUCUCGUGUAGCGGUAACAAUCUAAUUAUUUAAGAAUGGAAAACUACAAACAAUAUAUUAAAAAAUGAUAUAUAUGGAAUUGCUUCGUCACGAUUAGUGCACGUAUCGCAGAAAAAAAUGAUGCCUUCUGUAGUAGCAUGUUUUCACAAAGAUAACGCCGCUGAUUGAUCACCGAGACAGAAAAGACGCGCUAUUUGCUUUGGCUCACCGAGUACGCAGUUAUUGAUAAACGAGGUAUAGUAAUUCGAGUGACGAAUGUAUAAUGAAAACGGUAAGAAAAAUGCAAACUUAAAAAGACAUUGUUUCAAGAAACAUUUCAAGAAAGUAAAAUAUAAUUUAAAUCUCUCCUUUAUCCAUAUAUGUUAUAACUGUAUGACCUAAAAUGUAUGGAUCUUUUAUUGAAUAAAAAUUCUUGAAAUUUAGUUGGAAAAUGGGAGAAUUCACUUUUAAUGUUUCCAUCAUGUUUCCGUUGAAAAUUUAUAUAUUCAUUCUGCAAUAGUUUUAAUGAAAGUAAUAUUUCUUCACUAUAUAAAGCAAAGCUUUUACAAAAAGAGGAGUAAUAGCGAAAUGUCAAAGUAAAUUUGGGUGAAAUUAUUCCGGCAAGAGAAUAUGAGAAAACUAACUGAACUGAAUAUUCAGGGAAUUCGAGAAAGUAGUUCAGGAGGUCAAUCGAUCAGUUCUAGAUUAGUCUGAAAAAUUGUAGAGAAUCUUUUUAAAUGGUCGGAGUUAUAGCAAACACGAAAUCGUCGUUGAAGAGAAAAGAAUUUGUCGCCGACACGUGGAAUACCUACGUCACUGCGCUCGGUCAAUGCAUCAAUCCGGCCUGCAUCUGUAUGUAUUUACGCUUGCCGGAGAGGAGGGUAAGGGGGGAAGGGAUGGACAAGGGGAAACCCCUAUGUGACAUCAUCCCCCACGCGAGCGAGCGCCCGCUUCGUUUCGCUGGCUGACUUCUGUCGCCUAACUCCAAAACACCCCUGGACCCUGCCACCUCCCUUUACCUUUAAUCUUUAUCAAUCCAUCCAGCCGAGUCGCCGAAUCGAACGCA
RNAcentral lists this long non-coding RNA (1987 nucleotides) under Monomorium pharaonis (pharaoh ant). Its description in RNAcentral is "uncharacterized LOC118644608, transcript variant X2". The record is from RNAcentral. Lineage: Eukaryota; Metazoa; Arthropoda; Insecta; Hymenoptera; Formicidae.